RNAcentral lists this unclassified non-coding RNA (329 nucleotides) under soil metagenome. Its description in RNAcentral is "partial contains 5.8S ribosomal RNA, internal transcribed spacer 2, and large subunit ribosomal RNA". The stretch from base 1 to 120 matches the Rfam family "5.8S ribosomal RNA", at positions 35 to 154 of the family's 154-position model. The record is from RNAcentral.
GAUGAAGAACGCAGCGAAAUGCGAUAAGUAAUGUGAAUUGCAGAAUUCAGUGAAUCAUCGAAUCUUUGAACGCACAUUGCGCCCCCUGGUAUUCCGGGGGGCAUGCCUGUUCGAGCGUCAUUUCACCACUCAAGCCUCGCUUGGUAUUGGGCAACGCGGUCCGCCGCGUGCCUCAAAUCGACCGGCUGGGUCUUCUGUCCCCUAAGCGUUGUGGAAACUAUUCGCUAAAGGGUGCUCGGGAGGCUACGCCGUAAAACAAACCCAUUUCUAAGGUUGACCUCGGAUCAGGUAGGGAUACCCGCUGAACUUAAGCAUACAAAAGCGGAGGA